This 38325-nucleotide long non-coding RNA is filed under the name Malus domestica (apple). RNAcentral describes it as "long non-coding RNA (MDOM_LNC006337)". Lineage: Eukaryota; Viridiplantae; Streptophyta; Magnoliopsida; Rosales; Rosaceae. The record is from RNAcentral.
CAUGGAGGACAUUACGGUUGAUGGAUAUCACAUACCCAAGAAAUCAAGAGUCUUUAUCAAUAUUUGGACCAUUGGGAGGGAUCCAAGUGUAUGGUCAGAUAAUGUGGAAGAAUUCUACCCUGAAAAGUUUAUGAAUAAUAACGUUGACCUACGUGGACAUGACUUCCAGCUCAUACCAUUUGGGUCUGGUCGAAGAGGGUGCCCUGCUAUGCAAUUAGGGUUAACCACAGUUCGUCCUGUUCUGGGAAACUUGUUGCACUGCUUCAACUGGGAGCUCCCUAGUGGAAUGCUACCUAAAGACUUGGACAUGACUGAGAAAUUCGGCUUAUCGUUGUCGAAAGCCAAACACUUGCUUGCCAUGUCGACCUGUCGCCUGUACAAUGGAAGUUGAUGAUUGGUUUAUUACUUAAGCGUUGAUAGAUGUACUUAUUUCUAUUGGUCACACAUCAUUUAGUUUACAAUUUUAAUCUCUAAAUUUAGUUUCUGUAGCAUUACUCCCUUAAUAUAUAUAUAUAUAUAUAUAUAUAUAUAUAUAUAUAGUAUGUCUAGGCAUAAAUAAACAUUAAUUAACCGUAUAAUUUAGAUUAAUGCAAGUGUCUUGUAGCUCAAUUGAUUAAAAAUAUUAUUCCUUGCCCUUGAGGUCGCUUGUUCGAUUUUCCCUCCCGUAAAAAAUAAUUUGCUUGUCAUCAUGCCCACCUACGUACGUACCGCCUAAACGGUCAACCUUAGUAAGGGGUUGAAAUAAAUGUCUUGUAGUUAUAAUAGUGUUCCUUUGAGUAAUGUUAGAGAGACUAAAUUUGUAGACUAAUUUGCAAACUAAAUGAAAUGUCACAAAUAGGAAAUGAAUAUGUUUAUCAACGUUUAAAUGAUAAUCCAAUUAUCAACUUCCAUAUCAUUUAAUUUACAAAAUUUAAUCUGCCUAUCAUUACUCGUGUUCCUUUUGCCACCUCUGACUAGGAAAGAUUAAAAUAAUUACAUCGUUAAAGUGUUAACCAUAAUACGUUUUUCGUUCUCUUAAUUGAUCUUUAGAAUUAUCUUAUACGUUUUUCAUUCUCUUAAUUGAUGUACAAUUGGAGAUGGUUUAGAUUAAUAUUUCAAUAAUUGCGCCCUUUUUACUUACUUAUCUAAGUUUAUCACUUUAUGUGUGUUUCCCUAGUUUGUUUUGUCUUUUGGGUUUUGCACUUAGGUUUCAUUCAUUCGUUCAUUAUUUCUUUCAUUAUUUCUUUCUUUCCUUCUUCCCACCAUUCUUCUUUCUUUUUUCCCUUUAUAUUUUCUCCACAACUAAAACACAAAAUGUAGAAACUAAAAAUCAAAUAGUCAUCAGACGAGUGCUUAAAUUUUAUUCUCUUAAAAUAUACUUGUUCUCUGGAACUCUCUCAUGUAGCACCCAUCUCGCUAUUUUUUUCUUCUUAUAAUACCACGAUAUGUUGACACCAAAGGAUGAGACAAUAAAUCGGUAUCAAACUUGUCAUUCAUAAGAUUCGAACCUAAGACCUCUCACUUACAAGUGAAUGGUAGUAAAGGAGAAUAUUGUGGUAGCAAAAAUCUAUUGUUUUCGGCCUAGACGAAUUUUUACCUACAAAACAAAUAAACACCUGUGAUCAAAGACAAAGCCCCACACCCAAAGAGUGAGAGGUUUGGCCAAUGGAUCUUCAAUGCCUAAGUCAAUUUCUCUAAAAAGAGAGAGGUUUAGGGCUUAAUUGUGCAGCAAAAGUUUACUAAAAUUUGGUGGAGAAUGGGGUAUUUAUAGGAGCUAGGGUCGCCAUGGAGGAGAGAGAUCUCGCGCUAUGUAUCGUCAUCCAGUUGGCCAAGGUGUGUCAUCCGUUGGAUGGAGUAGGAAAGAAUUAUCCCAAUGAUAUUAUUGAAUAAAUAAUAUCUUAGAAUUAUCUUGUGGAUCCUUGAUUGGAUUUGAUGAAAAUUUCUUGCUUGAUUAUGUAUUGUAGUCAAAUCUCAUAUUUGCACUCGAAUAUAUCAAUGUUACGUAGGUGCAAUUAAGAUAUUUGCCCAAGUUUCAUAUAACCUAUCAGGCACAUGCUUUAACUAGCUUUGGCAAAAUUCUACGAAAAUUUACGAAACCACUAUUUUCAAAGAAUUUUUUUCCACACAACAAGCUUUUUAAAAUUCUUGCUAGACAAUGUAAAGAAGUCUGGAAACGAUAGUAAUGCCAAUUCCAAAGGGCAUUACGUUUUCCUUAUUACUGGCGUAAGGGUUGCAUUUUUCAUAAAAAUUAUUGCUCAUGCUUUUUAAUCGGUUUUUUAUAAACCAACAACAAUUCAUUUUAAAGACUAAGCCGAUCCGUUUACACAGGUAUAUGGUAAACUCCAUACAGUCGCCACACAGACAACGUUCCGUACGUUAUCUUGAAUAAUAGCCAUCGUCCCUUAGGUUAGGUGGAGACAAUCGCUCUGGUAAUGUCUCAUCCGCCAAAACACCAGAAAUUAACCGCAUGCAGUUUGGUUACUUUGGUAUUGCCAGCCAUUUGGUUCUUGUUCAUUUGUUCCUCCAUGUGAUGAACGUGAAAAGUUGAAAACACGGCAUAUAUGUACAACUAGAACAAGACAUGCAGUGUUACUUUCAACAGGUGGCACGUGCUUUGCUACCUCACACUAUCCUCAUUGAAUCCAUAUCCAUCCAUAUUCAAUCAACUCUUGUGCAUUAAGGAUCUUUACGCUUCUUCAAAAUUCUUUCUCUCAAUUUCAUGAAAAUUGCAGAGAGAUGGGCGUAGCUAUUAACAGAACUAUGAAUCUUUAAAGAACACUAUGAACAAGCAGAAAGAAAGAAAACGGAAGAACAAAGUAUAUCUAAUCUCUUAGUAAUGAAGUGUUUUUACAAAGCUUUUCUUACCGAAUGUGAAAAGAUCAAAUGGCUAUAUGUACUAACCAAUCACAAUCUACAAUUACAAUAUUAUCCUUUAACCUCCUUACUCAAUUACAAUCUUAUCCUCUUUAACAAACUCAAUUCCCAACUACCUUUGUAACUAACUUGACUUAUACCUCCUUGCCAGGUGUCAUUGGUUAAUACUCCCCCCUCAAACAUAGCUGGGGAAGUCCCAAGCUAUGGUUGUGAGUUGUUGUGAUCAUUGGAUGUAUGUGCACUUGAAAACUUCAACAUUGCUUGAUGGCUAUCCUGCACCCUGGAAUUGGAAGCUCCCAGUGUAAGAUUAAUACAAUGUUUGACAAAGAUCGGACUGUGAAGACCCUUAGUAAAUACAUCUGCAACCUGCUCUUCAGUUGGGAUAUAAUGCACAGUGAUAUCACCUUUCUGCACUUUCUCUCAAACAAAAUGAAAAUUGGUAUCUAAAUGUUUGAUCCGAGAAUGAAACACUGGAUUGGAGCACAGUGCUAAAGCAGAGAGAUUAUCACAAUGAAGUUUAGGUGGUAUUGGUAUAAACUGAUGCACAUUUUUUAGUAAUGACCUGAUCCAGUAGAUAUCAGCUACACAGUGAGCUAAAGCUUUGUAUUCAACUUCUGUUGAACUUCGAGAUACUGUAGCUUUUUUCUUUGACUGCCAUGAUACAAGAUUAGAUCCAAUAAACACAACAAAUCCAGUAAUAGAUCUCCUUGUAUUUAUAUCGGCUGCCCAAUUAGAAUCAAAAUAUGCAGCAAUUUGAAAAUCAGAUGUUUUGAUAUACUUCAAACCACAGUCUAAGGUUCCUUACAAAUAUCUCAUGAUUCGUUUCACCAGAUGCAUGUGCAAAUCUGUUAGAUGAGUCAUAUACUGACAAACAACAUUAACAGAAUGAGCAAUAUCUGGGCGAGUGAAGGUGAGGUACUGAAGGGCUCCCAUAAGACUUCGAUAAUGAGUAGGAUCAGCUAAACCAUUGCCUUCAUUCACAAGUAACUAAGAGUGAGGCUUAAAUGGUGUUGAUGUGGAUUUACAAUUCUCCAUCCCUGCUUUCUUGAGUAGCUCUUUGGCAUAUUUGGAUUGUGUUACCAUCAAUGAACCAUCAGAAUUAUAGUGAAUUUGCAAUUCCAAGAAAUAUGUUAAUCUGCCCAUAUCCUUUAAAUCAAACACUUCAGCAAGACUAGUGAUAACAAAUUGAAUCUUUUGGGAGGAUGAACCUGUGAGGAUAAUGUCAUCUAUAUAGAGAAGAAGUAGAAUAACAUCCCCAUCCCCAUCGUCAACAUUUACAAACAAACUAGAAUCGGAUAAUGCAGUUUUAAACCCAAGUGCACGAAGAAAGCUUGUAAAUUUUGAAUUCCAGGCCCUUGAUGCCUGUUUAAGACCAUACAAGGACUUAACUAACCGGCAAACAUGAUUUGGAUAUGUAGUAUCAAGAAACCCCUGUGGCUGCUUCAUAUAUACUUCUUCGUCAAGAUCACCAUGAAGGAAAGCAUUCUUGAUAUCCAAUUGUCUCAAGUUCCAAUUAAAUUGUACUGCCAAAGCAAGAAUUAUUUUGACUGUAGUAUGCCUGACCAUUGGACUGAAUGUCUCAGAAUAGUCCAAGCCCUUAUUUUGACUAAACCCUUGUGCCACUAAUCGUGCCUUAUACCUGGAUAUAGUGCCAUCUAAAUUUCGUUUGAUUUUAUAGACCCAUUUACUCCCAAUAACUUCUCUAUUGGAUGGAAGAGGAACUAGUCUCCAGGUCCCUUGAGCCUUUAAGGCAUCAAAUUCCUCCUGCAUAGCCUGCUGCCACUGAGUGACUUUUGAUGCAGCUCGAAAGUGUUUUGGUUCUUCACUCUCUCCAAUAUCAGCAAGGAAAGAGAAACCACAAUGAUCCAUUGUAGUAGCAGAGACUAAAGAAGGUCCAAUAUUAACAGAACUAUGAAUCUCUAAAGAACACUAUGAACAAGCAGAAAGAAAAAAAAAACGGAAGAACAAAGUAUAUCUAAUCUCUUAGUAAUGAACUGUUUUUACAAAGCUUUUCUUACCGAAUGUGAAAAGAUCAAAUGGCUAUAUGUACUAACCAAUCACAAUUUACAAUUACAAUAUUACCCUCUAACCUCCUUACUCAAUUACAAUCUCAUCCUCUUUAACAAACUCAAUUCCCAACUACCUUUGUAACUAACUUGACCUACACCUCCUUGCCAGGUGUCAUUGGUUAAUAGUAGCUGCAUGAGUACAAGUCGAAAUAUUAUUGUUUAUAUAAAACAAUUCAUAUAAAUUCGAUUUUUUUUUUUUUUGCGAUCAUUUGGUUAAAUUUCGUUUUGCAUGUAGUGGGGUAGAAUAGAAUUCUCUCCCCUCAUAAUCUCUCUUCUUUUUCCUCCUCUUCUAUUGGAACGGUUACGAUUAAGAAAAUUCUUGCUAAAAAAUGUAAAGGAGUUUGGAAACGAUACUAAUUAAGGUUUCCUUACUGGCUUUACAAAUUGCAUUUUUCACCAAAAUAGUUGCUCACGUUUUUUAAUCGAUUUUUCUAAAUAAAAAAAACAACAAUUCAUUUUAGAACUAAGCCGAUCUGUUUACACAUGUGUAUGUGUAAACUUCAUAUAGUCAGUGACAUACCCCGACCGAGAUCGAGGCAUGCUAGCCGUCAUGUGAGGGUGACGUAGCCACGUGCACAGUGCGGAAGCAAUAAAGAUAAGAAAUAUACGAAUAAAUAAAAACCGAAAGCUACUAAUGUGCACUAAUAAACAGGAAGUGCUAGGAGUGAGAUACAAGUGUAAAUACUCCUAAUCAGAGCAUAGAAAGUCUAGGUGCAGUCCAAUAGGACAAGUACUAGUUAUACAAUACCAGAAGAUGUCCUAUAAAUAUUUUAUUCUGUCAAAACUGCUAAGAUCCUCAAUGUCACCAACAACAAAUCUAACUAAAACCUAAAGGCGCACAAAACAGAAAAUAUGAGUGGGCACAAACAAAGAUUUUCAAAACCAUUUCAUUUAUCAAACGCUUUAACCACUCGCCGUAAAACAUGUAUAAUUUUUCCUAGAAAUAGAAUAUAAACAUAUGCAUAUAUAUAUAUAUAUAUAUAUAUAUCAAUUUAAAUGAUGCUUCACAUAACCAUAUUCAUAAGUAUGUCAUGCCAAAACAUAAAAUAGAAUAAGUAACUUAGGUGAGAAUAAAUUCAUGGAAAAUAACAUAUUAGCCGGAACCCCUGUAGAAGUUUGUACGGCUAAAUUCAUAGCUCAUUAGUCAAUCUAACCGGAGUCACUACAAUGACCUAUACGACACUACACUGCAUACAAGUCGGAACCACUAAAAUGGUCUGUACGACAAGACUGGGUGUAAUAUAAUUAUGCUCCAUACUACUCUCUCAUGAUAGCUGGGCGAUAAAUCGCUAGUCACCUACGAGUCGGAACCACCUAUGAUGGUCUAUAAGACAAGACUAUGCACCUAAAUUGGAUCCAAUGUGAGCAUAUGAUGCGGGAGGUGACAUUAUAAACAGGUUUGUGUCAUAUCUCUGGCUAAAUCACUAACACCGGGGUGUAGGUUUAUGAGCUCAAUAUUUCUCAAUUAAUCACAACCGUUAAUCACAUUCACAAUUCAUAAACUCACUCGGGCUUACCAGACCAUCCACAGCACCACAAUUAUAUAUAUAUAUAUAUGCAAACAUCAUAUGCAUAUUCUAAAUAUAAAACGUUUGGCAUAGAUCAAAUUAUAACUCAUUUAAAUGCAUUUUUUGGGAAAUAUCAAGCAUAUACAUAUAUACUUAAAACCAAAGCCCACUCACUGGUAUGUCGAAGGGUCGUAGCCCCCGAGUCACCCUUGACUGCGCUCGUCCUCGGGAUAAGUCUCCCCUAUAUGCAAAACAACUAUGAAAACGUUAAUUUAAAGCACAUAACCAAUACUAGCUAAUAAUUUCUCAUAAAUUGCUCUAAUGGGAUGUUUGAAUAUACCAACGCGAUCUACACAACCUCACGAACAUCCCCAUAGUUUUAAAAUAAUUUUUCAACAUCCCACGCGUCGGCAAGGGCACGACAACACGCGCAGCCAGGCGCAGGGACCCUAACGGAAUCCCUUAACCCCGUUAGGAAUAUUCCGUUAAAUAGUAACAGAAUCCGCUAAACUAACCAACGCUGUUAGGAAUAUUUGGUCAAAGUUGACGGAAUAUUCUAUCAUCUCCUACCUUCGAACUCCGGCAACCGUCGCCGUCGCCGUCGCAAAAAACUGGGAAAAUCUUAUAAUCCUUAUAUGUCUGUCGUUUCUUAACCAAAACUUAUGAAAUUGGUCUCAAUUUAAAGCUUAUAACUAGAAGAACACAUCCUUACCAAUUUCAAGGCUUGAAAUCCACGAAAGCUCGCCGGAGAGAGCUCGAUAAUUCCGGCCAAAUUUCAAACUCUCCAAACUCAACUUCCUGACGUCCAAUUUGCUUGAUUUUUCUUCUCUGAGCUUAGUACGAACGUCCUAAAGCUUCCUAUAAGCUUAAAAUCACCUGAAAUAUCCAUAAUUACGACCACAUGAACAGUACUCAAAUCGGGGGUGAUGGUUCCUCGGGUUUUUGAAGGUUUCACGAUUUACAAAUGGCAUAUAUGAACUCAGGGACUUGCAAGGAGUUCAAAUCUUACCUUCUUGACGUCGAUCCAUGCGUAAAAUGUGAGUUUGGAGUUCAUCCAUACAUUUUGUACGAAAAUGGUAUGAAGGCCGAGAGAAGGAGAGAACGCACGAGGUGUUUUUUGUGUGUGUGUGUGUGUGUGUCCUCACUUGGUCACCCAACAAAACAACACCUAAGUUUAAUUUUUUACUUGAGUCCAAAACUUAGGAACUCAACAUAGUAGUCUACAUUCCAAAAGCAUGUCACACACGUCACAAUCUUGACAUCCAAGGGUAAAAUCAUCAUUUCACACCGUCAAAACUAAAUGUUUCGGGACGGGCUGUGACAAUCUAAAUUGUCACAUCCUGGCCCGGUCCCCCACCAUAUCCCGGGCUCAACUCUGCCGUAGCACGAUAUUGUCCACUUUGGGCCCCGACCACGCCCUCACGGUUUUGUUUCUAGGAACUCACAUGAGAACUUCCCAGUGGGUCACCCAUCCUGAGAUUGCUCUCGUGCGAACUCACUUAACUUCAGAGUUCCAAUGGAACUUGAAGCCAGUGAGCUCCCAAAAGGCCUCUUGCUAGGUAGAGAUGGGAAUAUACAUAUAAGAUUUAGAUGAUCCACUCUCCUGGGCGAUGUGGGAUGUUACAGUCAGCACACAAACAAUGCUUCAUACGUUAUCUUGAACUAGCAUCUUGUCGUACGCGUAUGCAUGUUACAAAAUAUAUUAAGAAAUUCAAUUUUUUAUUUAUUUAUAUAUUUUUGAAAAUAAAUUAGAAGUUAAACAUAAACCAUCCACUAACAUGGGGUUUUGUUAUUUUUUUCUUUCUAAGUUUAAAAUUUUAAAUUCGUUCAAAAUUAAUAUUUGUUGAAUUAUUUUAACUCCUUUUAAUUCAAUAGUAAUUUAAAAAAAAAAUUGGAGGCAAUUUAUGGUAUUUUGAAAUUAACCUGCAUGCAUGCAGUUUGACUACUUUGGCCUCCCAGCCAGUCGGUUCUUGUCCAUUUUUUCCACCCUGUUAUGAAAGUGAAAUAUACCUAUAGCUAUAAUGUACUACGAGAACAUGAGACAUGCAGUGUUACUUUCAACAGGUGGUACGCCUUGCUACCUCACACUUAUCCUCCUUGAAUCCAUAUCUACACAUUCAAUCAACUCUUGUGCAUUACGUACGUCGCUAUGCUUCUUCAAAAGUCUCUCAAUUUCAUAAAAAUUGCAGAGCUGGGUGUAGCUACAUAAGCUGCAAAAGCACAAAUCGAAGUAUUAUUGCUUAUAUAAAAGAAUUCAUAUAACUUUGCUUUCUUCUUUUUUUUUUCUUUUUUUUUUUUAGACCAUACGGUUAAAUUUCAUUUUGCAUGUCUUAGGGUAAAGGGAGUUAUGAUUUUCUCUCCUUCUAAUCUCUCUCCCCUUUCUUCCCAUCUUAUUUGAAUAGUUACGAUUAAGUCAUAUCAACAUCUUAUAUUGAUUUCUUUAUAGAGAGAGAAAGACAAAGAUGAAAGUGUGAGAAGAGGGGAGGAAAAUGGGGAGGAUUAGGGGGGAAAGAAUUGUAGUCCAGGGUAAAGAACUCAUUCACAUGCAAGAUUUGAGUCCAUUAUCAAUCAGCCGUUGGAUCUUGAACUCUCUAUAAGUAUGAAACAAAAUGAGUCCAUCUAUCUCACCCAAAAAUCAAUAAAAAAAGAUUCCAUCAGAAAUAGCCAUCCUAAUCCUUGUAUUUCCUUGCCUUCCUGUGGUCUCUCCUCUGCAUCCUAAUCAAUGUCUUCUCAAGGAAAAGCAAAAAACUACCUCCUGGCCCUAGGGCACUACCAAUCAUUGGCAAUCUUCAUAUGCUAGGCGACCUCCCACACUGCAGCCUCCAAAACCUAGCAAAAAAAUAUGGACCUAUACUGUCGAUGCGUCUAGGGUUCAUACCAACCAUAGUGGUCUCAUCUCCCCAAGCAGCAGAGCUAUUCCUCAAAACCCACGACACCAUUUUUGCUAGCCGCCCCAACAUUGGUGUUAUGUGCCUUUCCUUAGUCCACUUGAUCUUCAGGUAUGUUACCCUUCAUUGUUAAUUACCAAACUUUACCCUUCAUUGUUAAUUACCAAACUUGUUACAUGAAAAAAGUAUCUAGGAGACCGGCCAAUGUCCACUUCUAACAAUACUAAUAUUGUCUUUAACUUGUUGAUUACUACAUGCUCAGUCCGACAAGUAUGAAGGUUUAUUAUAAAAGACUUCAGUAUUAGUUGAAAGAGUUAAAAUAUUUGAACUUUUUUUUUCUUUGUCUCUGUCCAAUGUCAGAUAGUUAAACAUACCCUCUUACGUAAGACCCAUUUAGUGGGUCAUACGUGAGAAAUCCACACAUCGGCAACCAUGUGGAGCCAAAUUAUAACCUCUCUAAAUAAUUAUUAAAAAAAUAAAUAAUUUAAUCAUAACAUUUGUAAAAUUUACUAUCGUUUCCAAACUUCUUUACAUUGUCUGGCAAGAAUUUUAACAAGCUUGUGGUGUGGAAAAAAAUUCUUUGAAAAUAGUGCUUUGUAUAAUUUUCUUAGAAUUUUGUCAAAACUAAUUAAAGCCUGUGUGUAACACUUUAGAUGAAACUUGGGUAAAUAUCUUAUGUUGCACCUGCGUAAAAUUGAUAUAUUUGAGUGAAUCACGUGGAAAAGUUGAAAACGCAGCAUGUAAGUACAACUAGAACAAGACAUGUUACUUUCAAAAGAUGGCACACGUAUCCUCAUGUUGUCCAUAUCCAUCCAUAUUCAAUGAACUCUUGUGCAUUCCGCCCCCACCCACCCACCACCCCCCACCCCAAAACCAAGAAAAGUGAAUCACGUGGAAAAGUUGAAAACACAGCAUGUAUGUACAACUAGAACAAGACAUGUUACCUUCAAAAGAUGGCACACGUAUCCUCAUGUUGUCCAUAUCCAUCCAUAUUCAAUCAACUCUUGUGCAUUCUUCUUCAAAAUUCUCUCUCAAUUUCAUGAAAAUUACAGAAGUAGGCGUAGGGUAAAGGGAGUAAAAUUGUAUCCCCUCUUUAUCUCUCUUCCUUUUUCUUCUCUCCAAUUUGAACGGUUUACAAUUAAACCAUGUCAACAUCUUUUAUUGACUUCUUUAUAGAUAGAGAAAGACAAAGAAAAAAGUGUGAGAGAAGGAAAGAAAAAGGGGAAGGAAUUAGGAGUGGAGACAAUCCUAAUGGAGGUUAAAGAACUCAUUUGCCACAUGCUAGCAUUUGGUAAUAUAUCAAUUAGUUGUUAGAUCUUGAACUCUCUAUAAGUAUCAAACAAAAUGAGUCUACAUGUAUAUAUAUGUGUGUGUGUCUAAUGUCCCAUUUAUCGAUCUCACCCAGAAAUCAUAUAAAAUGAGUCCUUCAGAAAUAGCCAUCCUCAUCCUUGUAUUCCUCACAUUCCUAUGGUCUCUCCUCCACCUAAUCAAUGCCUCCUCAAGGCAAAGCCGAAAACUGCCACCUGGCCCUACACCACUGCCAAUCAUUGGCAAUCUUCAUAUGCUAGGCGACCUCCCACACCGUAGCCUCCAAAACCUGGCAAAAAAAUAUGGACCUAUAAUGUCCAUGCGUCUAGGGUUCAUACCAACCAUAGUGGUCUCAUCUCCCAAAGCAGCAAAGCUAUUCCUCAAAACGCAUGACACCAUUUUCGCUAGCCGCCCCAAACUCCAAGCCUUCGAGUACAUGGCUUACGGCUCGAAGGUCAUGGCCUUUAUUGAAUAUGGGCCAUACUGGCGCCAUAUUCGGAAACUUUGCACACUUCAACUUCUUUGUCCCUCGAAAAUUGAGGGUUUUGCUCCGCUAAGAAGGGAGGAGGUAGGGUUGUUAGUGCAGUCCCUGAAGGUAGCUGCGGAGGGGGGCGAGGUGGUGGAUUUUAGUGAGAAGGUUGGUGAGCUUGUUGAGGGAAUCACGUAUAGGAUGGUGUUGGGGAGAAAAAAUGAUGAUAUGUUUGAUCUCAAGGGGAUUAUUGAGGAAGCCCUAUUCUUGACAGGAGCUUUCAACAUUAGUGAUUAUGUGCCUUUCCUUAGUCCACUUGAUCUUCAGGUAUGUUACCCUUCAUUCUUAACUACCAAACUUGUUAGAUGAAUCAAUAAUAAAACUAGGGAAAUGCUUGGACCACUGUAAAGUAGGGACAUUUAGAUUGCACGCACGCUAUUGCUAAGCACAAAUACAAAGUAGAGGCGUUGCAAAUAAGUGCAUGCACGUAUGCGCGACUGAUCUUAGCACUACUCCUCUAAAAAUAUUUGAACUCUAUUAUUUAGAUGACGUAUUUCGAUGGAUCCAUCAACAGGAGCAAAAGCAGUGUUAGCAAAUAAAGUGAACGAGAUUAACUCGUAGUUUUAGGAAACUGAGCUCGUUUGGAUGUAGUUUUAAAAUGACUAAAAGUGUUUUUGGUAAAAUUAUUUUUAGAAACAAUCCUUCAUAAAAACGCUAACAGAUCUUGGAAAAGCAUUUAAAGUGCUUUCUGGAAGAAGCAAGUAUAACUAGUGCUUCUUGUAGAAAGCACUUCAAAUAUUGCUUUUGGAAUCCAAAAACAAUUUUUCUAUAAGCGCUUUCAAUCAUUUUAAUAGCAUAUCCAAACUCAGCCAAUAACUAGUCCGCAUUCGUACAAAUUAAUCUGAGAGGAAUAUCUGUUUACCUUAGCCAGCUAACUUAUCGUCUUUUUGCUGGUGAUAUGAUUCACAAAGUCUAAGCAUCCACAAAUUAUAAAUGCAAUACCAUAUGAUUCAUAUCGUAUGGUCCAUUCCAUAGCCUGCUGACGAUAAACUAUCUUCUAAUUCGAGAUGUAGAAACAUAUUUACAUCUUAUUUUAUAGUUUCAAGAGGUGUAGAUGGAAGUUCUAUGCUAAUGAGAGUGAUGUAAAUUUGAGCUUUUAUUUAAUUUUCUCUCUUAGAGUAGCGGAGUCCACCAUAAAAAAAAUAUACAUCCAUAUAUAUAAGUUCUUAUUUAUAUUUUCCAAAUCAAUAUUUUACAUCUUUCUGACCAACUUAAAGUAUUAAAUACAAAUUGCUCCCUAUCUUAUGCAUUUGGUUGCCAAUGCCAUCCGGGAUAUUAUUACAAUAGCAAUGGAUUUAAUGCACAAUUCAUUAUUUUAGGAACCUUAAUUUCUGCAAUCAACUAUACAAAUUUAAAAUAUAUUCAACAGGCUCUUUUAAGGGAAGAUCUCCAUUUAAAAAAUAAAUAAAAAAUAAAAAUUAGUUGUAGGGCUCAUCCCACAUCAAACUUCAAUAAUAAGAAUUGUCUAUAUUUUAUCUCUAUUCAUAGGUCAUUCUUGCAAAAAAACAAUUCAAUCCGAAAUCAUUUGGUCAUUUGAUUGUCACGAUGAAAUUUUAAAGUUUCUUAUAACAUAAUGUUCGUCAAUGUCUUGGAGCUCAAUUAGAUUAAUUGAUGCCUCAAACAUUUUUUAUUUGGCUAAUUUUGCAAGAAUGAUUUAAGAGGUACAACUUGAAUUGAAAAUAGACAAUUCGGAUAUCAUUGAAGUUCAAUGUCGUAUAAGACUGCACAAGUAAUCUAAAAAAUGAGAAUCCCUUCCCUUAAAACCAUAUGUUACAUGUAUGUUUUUUUUUUCUUCUUAUCCUUCAUAAAGGAUGUAAUACUAGUAAUAAGGAUUUUAUUUUACCAUUGAAAAUGAGGAUUUUACAAAAAUUCAAAAGAUAAAAUGCUAGUAAAUAUGUAGAUAUAGAUUUUGAGGCCUUACGUAGUUGGGUAAAAUUGAGUUUAAUUCCAAUUUUAUAAGAAUCAAACUCCUAGGGUGGAAAAUUUGCAUUUUACAUGAGUGACUCCGAUUAUUGAGUUUAAUAAUUACCAAUGACUUUAAUUCCAAUAAAUGAUCAACCAUUUGACAGAGAAAAAUAGAGAUUAAUACAUAAAAUAAGGAAAACAAAAGUCCAAUAAUAUUAUAGGAAUCAAACUCAACGUACAUGAUUAUAUGUGGGAAUGAAACUAAACAAAACUAACGUUUCUCUCUGUAAUUGUUCUUUCAUCUCAGAAAAAAGGGUUGCACAUGAUCCCUUAUACCCAUGUGAGUGUGUCACCGUAUAUGCCUAUCCUCACCCAAAAGUUACUCCAAAAAUACAAGAUGUAAUAGCUUUUAUAUAUGCAUGCAUGUCUUGUCCAUUUCAUUGUCUAAUAAAAAUGAUAGCUACAGUACUCAACUAGAAGUACAUAUGAUUGAUUGAUUGUAUGGAAUAUUAACUAUUUCUUCCACUUAGGGAUUGACCAAGCGCAUGAAGAGAGUUAGCAAAAUUGUCGACCAACUACUCGAAAAGAUAAUUCAGGAUCAUGAACAAGUUUCCAGAAGUGAGGUACAAGGCAAUCAUCAUAAGGACUUUGUAGACGUGCUACUUUCAUCAAUCCACCAACCAUUAAACCCCAACAAUGAGGAAGUCUACAUGCUCGAGCGAACAAAUGUCAAAGCCAUUUUACUCGACAUGAUUGUGGGUGCCCUUGACACCUCAACCACGGCAAUUGUCUGGACCCUGGCCGAACUCUUGAGGCACCCGAAAGUAAUGAAACGUCUCCAAGAAGAGCUCAAGAGUGUGAUCAGGAUGGAUCGAAUGGUGGAAGAAAGUGAUUUGCCAAAGCUGGAUUACUUGAGCACGGUUGUCAAGGAUAGCUUAAGGCUACACCCAAUUGCCCCAUUACUAGUCCCUCAUCAAUCCAUGGAGGACAUUACAGUUGAUGGAUAUCACAUACCUAAGAAAUCAAGAGUUUUUAUCAAUAUUUGGACCAUUGGGAGGGAUCCAAGUGUAUGGUCAGAUAAUGUGGAAGAAUUUUACAAUGAAAGGUUUAUGAAUAAUAACGUUGACCUACGUGGACAUGACUUCCAGCUCAUACCAUUUGGGUCUGGUCGAAGAGGGUGCCCUGCUAUGCAAUUAGGGUUAACCACAGUUCGUCUUGUUCUGGGAAACUUGUUGCACUGCUUCAACUGGGAGCUCCCUAGUGGAAUGCUACCUAAAGACUUGGACAUGACUGAGAAAUUUGGCUUAUCGUUGUCGAAAGCCAAACACUUGCUUGCCAUGCCGACGUGCCGUUUGUACAAUGGAAGUUGAUGAUUGGUUUAUUAGUUAAGCUUUGAUAGAUGUGCCCAUUUCUAUUGGUGACACAUCAUUUAAUUUACAAUUUUAGUCUCUUUAGCAUUACUCCCUUAAUAUAUAUAACAUUAAUUAACCAUAUAAUUUGGAUUAAUGCAAGUGUCUUGUAGCUCAGUUGAUUAAGAAUAAUAUUCCUUGCACUUGAGGUCACUUGUAUAUAUAUAGUAUGUCUAGGCAUAAAUAAACAUUAAUUAACCGUAUAAUUUGGAUUAAUGCAAGUGUCUUGUAGCUCAGUUGAUUAAGAAUAAUAUUCCUUGCACUUGAGGUCACUUGUAUAUAUAUAUAUAGUAUGUCUAGGCAUAAAUAAACAUUAAUUAACCAUAUAAUUUGAAUUAAUGCAAGUGUCUUGUAGCUCAGUUGAUUAAGAAUAAUAUUCCUUGCACUUGAGGUCACUUGUUCGAUUUUCUCUCCCGUACAAAAUAAUUUGCUCGUGAUCAUGCCCACCUACAUACGUACCGCCUACACAGUCAACCUUCAUAAAGGGUUGAAAUAAAUGUCUUGUAGUUAUAAUAGUGUUCCUUUGAGUAAUACUAGAGAGACUAAAUUUCUAGACUAAUUUGCAAACUAAAUGAAAUGUCACAAAUAGGAAAUGAAUACGUUUAUCAACGUUUAAAUGAUAAUCCAAUUAUUAACUUUCAUGUCAUUUAAUUUAUAAAAUUUAAUCUGCCUAGCAUUACUCGUGUUCCUUUUAUGCCACCCCUGACUAGGAAAGAUUAAAGUAAUUACAUCGUAAAAGUGUUAACCAUAAUACGUUUUUCGUUCUCUUAAUUGAUCUUUAAAAUUAUCUUAUACGUUUUUCAUUCUCUUAAUUGAUGUUUAAAGUUAUCUUACAAAAAGCUAAUACAAUUGGAGAUGGUUUAGAUUAAUAUUUCAAUAAUUGCGCCCUUUUUACUUACUUAUCUAAGUUUAUCACUUUAUGUGUGUUUCCCUAGUUUGUUUUGUCUUUUGGGUUUUGCACUUAGGUUUCAUUCAUUCGUUCAUUAUUUCUUUCAUUAUUUCUUUCUUUCCUUCUUCCCACCAUUCUUCUUUCUUUUUCCCCUUUAUAUUUUCUCCACAACUAAAACACAAAAUGUAGAAACUAAAAAUCAAAUAGUCAUUAGACGAAUGCUUAAAUUUUAUUCUCUUAAAAUAUACUUUUUCUCUGGAACUCUCUCAUGUAGCACCCAUCUCGCUAUUUUUUUCUUCUUAUAAUACAAUGAUAUGUUUACACCAAAGGAUGAGACAAUAAAUCGGUAUCAAACUUGUCAUUCAUAAGAUUCGAACCUAAAACCUCUCACUUACAAGUGAUGGGUAGUAAAGGAGAAUAUUGUGGUAGCAAAAAUCUAUCGUUUUCGGCCUAGACGAAUUUUUACCUACAAAACAAAUAAACACAUUUGAUCAAAGACAAAGCCACGCGCCCAAAGAUUGAGGGUGGGAGGUGUUUGGCCAAUGGAUCUUCAAUGCCUAAGUCAGUUUCUCUAAAAGGAGAGAGGUUUAGGGCUUAAUUGCGUAUCAAAGGGCUACUAACUUUGGUGGAGAAUGGGGUAUUUAUAGGAGCUAGGGUCACUGUGGAGGAGAGAGAUCUCGCGCUAUGUAUCGUCAUCCAGUUGGCCAAGGUGUGUCAUCCGUUGGAUGAAGUAGGAAAGAAUUAUCCCAAUGAUCCACUACUACAAUAUAGGCUAUCACCGGCGGAACAAAAACCGACAAGAAACCCGAUUUCUGUCGAAAAUUUGGCAAAAAUCCGACAUAAAACAGUGCAAUGUCGGAGUGGAAUAGCGACACCAUUGCUACCGUCAUAAAAGGGCUUCAGUGUCGGUUUGAUAGCUUAAUCCGCCACUAAGCAACAUCGGUUUAAAGCGACACUGACAGCAACGUCGGUUUAAAGCGACGCACACUCAAACCUUACAUCGGUUUAAAGCGACGUUAUAUAAUGUUAGAGUAAAUGUAGAAUUAUGGAGAAUAAUCCGAAUAAUGACUUUGAGGUACGACUUGAAUCGUUUCCUUAAAGUGUUAUUUGCCCCCACUCGAAUGAGUUUGCUAAAGGGUUCUUGGCAAAUCACUUCCAGGAUACAACAAAGUAUGGAAUAUUCAAUUAGCAAAACCGAAUUAUAUUCCCUUAGAAAUAACUAAAAAGAAAUUGUAUGAAUGUGAUGUUGAGAGAAAAGAGAACAAAGAAAUUAUGUAGAUAACUAAAUUCUGAAUAAUUGUGUAUGAAACAUUAUACCACAACAUGUAUUUAUAGACAUCAAAGUACCCGUUCAUCGAGCCAUUUCAUUUUAGUUGAAGACACACAACUCUUCUUAAUAGUGUUGACCCAAAAGACAUGUGUUCUAUUUAGAAUUUUCAGAAAAUAAAUAUUGACUAAUUAUAUCCUUUAAUUCUACUCAUACAAUUUGAGUAAACAUCAUAUCUUUUAACCAAAAGUUGUAAUUCAACCAAAAGGUACAAGGUUGAAUUAAAUCCAACCUUUCAAUACAUGUUGCCGCAUGCAUGUUGCGGAUGGCAGCAGCACUAGGUCAUAUAUAUUUAUAUAUUCAUAAAUAUUAUAUAUUAAUAUAUAUAUAUAUAUAUAUUAAUAAUAAUAAUUAUUAUUAUUAUUGAAAUCUCUAACAAUCCUUCCCAAUUUCAAUAAUAUGGUAAAUGAUAUUACAAUAAUUCUCUCUUUAUAAUUAUCACAAGCAUACCGAUAUAAUCAUGCAUACAAUAAAGGUGUCUUUCGAAUUAAACCUUUAAUUAGUGUAAGUAACUCAAAGUUAUAACGAAUGCAAUGGUGACUUAAGUUUAAACCAACUAUUCUUAUGUUAAAACCGGAAUCACCACACACAUGAUUAUGUCUUAUUUCCUUAAAGAAAUUACUGAACUAAUUAAGCACUAUUUAUGGCUUUGUGCUUCAUCCUGGUUUCAUAAACAUUUACAAGAGAAAACCCAACUCUUGGCAGAAGCGGCACCACUUCUUAUGUUUAUAUAGGUGAGGUUCCUUCCCAUGUCCCUACUACUAUAGACAUAACUACAAAUAACCUCAUUAAGAGUUAAAACUAUCCUCCUAAACGUAGCAGUCUUGCACUGAUCAUCCUGGAAUGAGCUAUAUAAUAAUUUUCAGUGCUUACACAACCACUUAACAAUAACUUGUUAUUACCCAUUAAACUUUUAAACUAGUGAUGUUCUAGACAAAGUCGGGUUACCAUUAUUGGUGGCUAAUUUUCAGUAAAGGGUUUUAGCCCCAUUCCACUAGAUGUACUAACUACCAAAGCUCUUGAAAGUGAUUUCGUUAACGGAUCCGCCAAGUUAUUACUUGAUUUAACAUAAACAAUAUUAAUAACUCCAUCAGUUAUUAAUUGCUUGACAUAUUCAUGUCUCAAGCUAAUAUGUCUAGACUUUCCAUUGUAUACCUUAUUGUAUGCUCUAGACAAAAUAGCUUCACUAUCACAGUAUAAAGAAAUGGAUGGCAUUGGUUGUGGCCACAACUCUAUUUCCAAUAACAAAUUUCUAAUCCAUUCCGCUUCUUUACCUGCUGCUGCUAAUGCUAUAAAUUCAGAUUCCAUAGUUGAAUGUGCUAUACAUGUUUGCUUCUUCGAAGCCCAAGAAAUUGCUCCUCCGGCAAUUGUAAAAAUCCACCCUGAUGUAGACUUAUUAUCAUUAGCACUUGUUAUCCAACUUGCAUCUGAAUAUCCUUCAAGUACUGCUGGAAACUCAGAGUAAGUUAAACUCAGGUUAAUAGUUCUUUUAAGAUAACCAAAAAUUCUAUUUAUUGCUUUCCAAUGAGCAGUACCUGGAUGACUAGUGUAUCUAGAAAGUUUGCUUACUGCAAAUGCGAUAUCUGGCCUGGUACAAUGCAUGGCAUACAUUAAACUUCCGAUUACACUAGCAUACUCAAGCUGUGCAACAGACCUACCAGAAUUAUUAAGCAAAGUUUCACUAUGGUCAUAAGGGGUAUUUGCUUCUUUAUUUGUAGAUGCUUAAACUUAAGAAGCAAUUUUUCUAUAUAAUGUGACUGACACAAAGCGUAACCCCUACUAUGCUUCUUUACUUUAAUUCCCAAGAUAGUAUCUACUUCAUUCAAAUCCUUCAUCUUGAAUUUUGAAUUUAGAUACUCUUUAGUUUCAGAUACACCUUUCAUGUUUGUACCAAAAAUUAGCAAGUCGUCGACAUAUAAACAUAUAACAACACCAUAAUCAUUUGUGAAUUUAGAGUAUAUGCAUUUAUCAGCACUGUUAUGUCUAAAUCCAUAUGAUAAAAUGACAAAAUCAAACUUUUCAUGCCAUUGUUUUGGUGCUUGCUUCAAUCCAUAUAAUGACUUUACUAAUUUACAAACCUUCUUUUCAUUCCCAGGGAGAACAAACCCUUCUGGUUGUUCCAUAUAGACUUCUUCAUCUAAAUCACCAUUUAAAAAUGCUGUUUUCACAUCCAUUUGAUGCACAUGCAAAUUAUAUAAAGAUGCCAAUACAAACAAUAUUCUAAUUGUGAGCCUAGCUACUGGUGCAUAUGUAUCGAAAUAGUCAAUUCCUUUUUUCUGCUUAAAACCUUUGGCAACUAGCCUGGCUUUAAAUGUUUGAAUAGACCCGUUUGUAUUGUAUUUUCUUCUAAAUACCCACUUACAACCUAUUGCUUUUGAUCCUUGGGGCAAGUCUACUAAAACACAUGUCUGAUUAGAUAGUAAUGAUUCAAAUUUAUCAUUUAUAGCCUCUUUCCAAAAGGCUGCAUCUCUUGAAGUCAAUGCUUCGCUUAGACUUUUAGGAUCAUCCUCAACAUUCAACAAUAUGGGUAUAUUCUUAAGAACCUUUGUUCUAUUUCCUUCGACUAAAAAUACAAUAGAUUGAGAUGAAAUAAAAUCAAAGCCUAGAGUCUUUUCUUUUCUUACCCUUUGGCUUUUCCUUGGUUCAUUAACAGUUUCAGACUGUUUUCUUUUCUCACCUUGAGAUUGACUAGUAGACGGAUUAGAGAAAUGUGUUUGAUCAUUCUCUUUUUCAGACACUGAGUAGUCAUUAUAGAAUUUAUUUUCUAUAAAUUCGACAUUUCUAGACUCAACUAUUGUGUUCGAGUCUAAAUUAAGCAACCUAUAUGCCUUUGAAUUUUCUGCAUAUCCUACAAAUAUGCUUUUAAUUCCUCUUGGACCCAACUUGGAUCUCUUAGGAUCGAGUGCCUUAUAAAAAGCUACACAACCCCAUACUCUCAAAUAUGACAAAUUUGGUUUUCUUCCUUUCCAAAUUUCAUAUGGUGACACAUGUGUCUUCAUAGAUGUAAUUCUAUUGUGUAUAUGGCAUGCAGUAAACAAUGCUUCACCCCAUAAAUAUUUUGGAGUAUUAGCAUUAAUCAUCAUAGAAUUAAUCAUUUCAGUGAGUGUUCUAUUUUUUCUUUCUGCCAAACCAUUUUGUUGUGGUGUAUAGGGUGCAGUUCUUUGAUGUACAACACCAUGCUCUUCACAAAAAAUAUCAAAUUCAUGUGAAAAAUAUUCACCACCUCUAUCACUACGAAGGCAUUUAAUUUUCCUUCCCUUUUGGUUUUCAACUUCAGCCUUAUAGCGCUUAAAGCACUCAAAAGCUUCAUCUUUAUUAGACAAUAAAUAAACAUAAGUAAAUUUAGAACAAUCAUCUAUAAAUGUGAUAAAAUAUCUUUUUCCUCCUCUUGUUAAAACACCAUUAAAUUCACAUAUGUCAGAAUGUAUUAAGUCUAAUAAAUUUGUAUUUCUUUCGGUAGUUGGAAAAGGUUUUUUAGUCAUUUUCGCUUGAAUACAUGUUUCACAUUUAUUAUUAUAAUCAUCAUUGCAAGUAAUAAAACCAAGUGUGCACAUGUAUUUUAAAGAUCUAAAAUUUAUAUGUGCUAAACGUAAAUGCCAUAAAUGAGAGGAAGAUUCAACAAUAUAAACAGAAGAAUUCACUUUAUUAUUGAUACUUAGUUUGAACAUCCCAUCACAAGAAUAUCCCUUCCCAACAAACAUCCCAUUUUUCGACAUUAUUAACUUGUCGGACUCUAGAACAGUCUUUACCGUUCUUACAUAAUAAAUUUGUAGACACAAGAUUCUUUCUAAUUUCUGGAACAUGCAGUACAUUAAGCAACGUCAAUUUCUUCCCAGAAGUAAAUUGAAGUUCAACGGUUCCUUUUCCUAGAACUUUGGCGGAAUUAUGAUUCCCCAUUAAAACUUCUUGAUUUUCCGUUGAUGCUUCAUAUGUCUUGAAUUGUGCCUUGUCAUUGCACACAUGUAUAGUAGCCCAUGAGUCGAGCCACCAAUCGGAGGAUUUUAUUACCGCUGCCAUAUUCAGUUCGGUAAUCAUGCCAAUAUGCAUCAUUGAUACCAUUGCAACAAUGUUAUCAAUUCCAGAGUUUUCCACCAUAUUUGCGCUAUUGGUCUUAUUGGCAUAUUCCUCACUUGCUUUUCUAUGUCUACAAUCACGAAUGUAAUGGCCUUUCUUUCCACAAUGGUAACAUACACCAUUUGCAUUCUUUUGAUUGUUGUUGGAAUUGGUUUUCUUAAACUUCCCUUUGUCAAUUUUGACUUUGAAGUUCUUUUUAUAUUUGUUUCCUUCGACAAUGUGAACUUUAGAGAAAUCUUGAUUUGCAAAAUUCUUAUCACGAUUUCGAGUUUCCUCUUCAAUUUGAAUACCCUUUUGCAAAUUCUCCAAACUAAUAUCUUCCACCAUGUGUAGAAGUUUCUUUCUAUAGUUAUUCCAUGUUUGGGGUAAUUUUGCCAUAAUAGCUCCAACUAUCAUAGGAUCCGGAAUAACUAUUUUAAGUUCACGAAGCUUUGAGACCAAGACCAAUAAUUCAUGAACUUGGUCUAGGAUGGGUUUGUUAUCAAACAUAGUGAAUUCAUAAUAUUUGAACAUUAAAAAUUUAUCGGUACCUCUUUUUUCCGUUGUGUACUUGUGUUCAAGUGCUUCCCAAAUUUCCUUUGGAGAUUGAAUGUGUGCAUACAGGUCAUAUAAACGAUCAGAUAAUGUGCCCAAGAUGUGUCCUCGACAUACCAAUUCAUCUUCUUCACGCUUCUUUCGAUCGGCAACUAUGUUGUCCGAGUCUUUGUCACUUGGUUCACGAAUAGGCUCCAAUUUCGGGUCCAACACAUAUAUGACAUUUAGAACAGUAAGCAUGAAACGCAUCUUGUCCUUCCAUCGGGUGAAAUUUGAUCCAUCAAAUUUGUCUAACUUGUAGACAUCUUGAUUGAUAAUCUUCAUAGCCAUGUUAUCAGAUUUGUUAUCCAUGAUGAAAAUAACACUUUAAGAUUGUUAGAGUAAAUGUAGAAUUAUGGAGAAUAAUCCGAAUAAUGACUUUGAGGUACGACUUGAAUCGUUUCCUUAAAGUGUUAUUUGCCCCCACUCGAAUGAGUUUGCUAAAGGGUUCUUGGCAAAUCACUUCCAGGAUACAACAAAGUAUGGAAUAUUCAAUUAGCAAAACCGAAUUAUAUUCCCUUAGAAAUAACUAAAAAGAAAUUGUAUGAAUGUGAUGUUGAGAGAAAAGAGAACAAAGAAAUUAUGUAGAUAACUAAUUUCUGAAUAAUUGUGUAUGAAACAUUAUACCACAACAUGUAUUUAUAGACAUCAAAGUACCCGUUCAUCGAGCCAUUUCAUUUUAGUUGAAGACACACAACUCUUCUUAAUAGUGUUGACCCAAAAGACAUGUGUUCUAUUUAGAAUUUUCAGAAAAUAAAUAUUGACUAAUUAUAUCCUUUUUGCGGAUGGCAGCAGCACUAGGUCAUAUAUAUUUAUAUAUUCAUAAAUAUUAUAUAUUAAUAUAUAUAUAUAUAUAUAUUAAUAAUAAUAAUUAUUAUUAUUAUUGAAAUCUCUAACAUAUAACAAUUAAAUAAUAAAAUACUCAAACUAGUGACGCUUUAAAGCAACACCAACUUUGAUAAUAAUAAUUAGAUAACAAUUAAAUAAAUAAAAUACGCAAACUAGUGACGGUUUAAAGCGACACCACCAUUGAUAAUCUUAAUAAAAAAAAUCUGAAUCCCUUUCUGUAUUCGUUCUCAUAUAAUUAUAACUCAAAAAAAAUUAUAUAAUCGCAUUUUUUUGGCCAAAACAAACCAUAAUAAUUUUGACCAAAAAAAAAACAAUAAUAAAAAUAAUUCAAAAGAAAAAAAGUGCCAUAAUAAAAAAAUCUGAAUCCCUUUCUGCUUGUUCUUUAGGUCUGCUAUCCGUUUAUUAUUAUUUUUGUCCCUCAUUUUCAACUCAUUGUUUUGAGUCAACAGCACUGCCAUUGCACUCUUAGAUGACCUCUUGGAGGAAUUUGAUGUAGAAGAUGAAGAAGAUGCAUAGGACACCAUAUCAGGAGUCACCCAUGAUCAUAUCCUUUGACUUUAUUAUGAUUCUCAGGACCCAUUGUAUCAACAUACACUCAGGUCCUAAGCUCUUCUUAUCCUCUUGGCCAGUCUCAAUCAAAGUUUGUAGACUGCUCUCCAUUGUUGCCUUGCAUUACAAUUUAAAAAAAAAAUAUUCAAACAAUCGUAAAUCAGAAAAAUAAGCUAUAAAAAUUAAUAACAAUGAUAUACUAACACGAUAAAAAUAUUCAAACAAUCGUAAAUCAGAAAAAUCAAGUUAAUCAAUUACUAUUACAAUCAUUGACUUAUAUUUUUAUUUUUAAGUCACAAUAAAAAUAUCUAUACCUUUAUUCUAUUCCAAAAAACUUCCUUAACUUCUUCAUCAAUCUUACGCCAAUCCCUCUUCAACGGGAGAUUUAUGUGGUCUCUAUCCUCUGUUGCAACAUACUUUGAAUAUGCACUAGAAUUAUUGACACACCCCGAUCCUAGAAUCAAGGCGUGCCUCACACCUUGAUUCUAGGAUCGGGGAGUGUCAAUUAUCACUAAUGCAUUUUCCGGACACAUCAAACGAACAAAGUUGCUUUGUCUAUUUAGGAAUUGAGGAUCCGCGCCUCCGUUGAGAUAUUCCUUAUUAACACAAAAAAAAAAAAGGCAAUUAGAAACCAAGAAACAAAUGUAAAUUUUCAGUUAAUGCACAAUACUAGUUUAAACACAAAACAAAAACGGAAAUUAAAAAUAACUCAAAAUAGAACCACCUUCGAACCUUUCAAAUGAAGUUCCUAAGAACGUUGAUCUUCACUAGAAUUAUCCAUAGCAAAAUUAGUGGAAGGAGGAAGAGAAUGGCUGAAAUGGGCGAGAGAGAAAUGAAAGAGAAUUGGAAGCACAGUCGUGUUGGGAAAGAAGGGCAUUUAAAUAUGGAAAAAAACUUAACGUCGGUUUAAAACCGACAGUAUCCAUAACUGCGUUGAAAUUUGAACGCAUAACGUCGGAAUAAUAAAAUUUGGCGUCGGUUUAAAUCGACAGUAAGACUGACACAACCUAAAAAGACGAGGCAUGACGUACAUUUGACUGAAAUCCUGACUCACUCUGACUGAAAGGGUUGGCAUCGAAAUAGGACAAGUUUGCGUCAGAUUAAACAGACGUUAGUCUGACAUAGUUGACUGUCAUAGCAGGUGGCCUCAAAAUGGGAAAUGGGACAAGUUUGCGUCGGUUUAAGGGAAAGGUUGCGUCGGUUUUAACCGACGCAAAAUCUUACAUUGACAGAACUAGCGUCGAAAUAAGAAAAGGUUGCGUCGAAGUAAGUAAAUGUUGCGUCGGAAUAAGUAGAGGUUGCGUCGGUUAAAACCGACGCAAGGUCUAACAAACGUCGGAAAAUUCAUUUCAAACAUUUCAAACAUUCAUUCCCGCCUAAAACAUUUCAAACAUAUUUCAAACAUUUCAUUUCCGCCUAAAACAUUUCAAACAUUCAUUCCCGUCUAAAAUAUUUCAAGUUAUCUCAUAUAAUAUUUUAAUAAAUAAUAUUUAAUACAUAAUUAAAAAACAAUAAUAUAAUUAUAUGAUAAAGCAAUAAAUAAUAUUUAAUAUCAUGAUAUUAUUGAAUAAAUAAUAUCUUGGAAUUAUCUUGUGGAUCCCUGAUUGGAUUUGAUUAUAAUUUCUUGCUUGAUUAAGUAUUGUAGUGAAAUCUCAUAUUUGCACUCGAAUAUAUCAAUGUUACACAGGUGCAAUUAAGAUAUUUGCCCAAGUUUCAUAUAACCUGAUAGGUACAUGCUUUAAUUAGCUUUGGCAAAAUUCUACGAAAAUUUACGAAACCACUAUUUUCAAAGAAUUUUUUUCCACACAAGAAGCUUUUUAAAUUUCUUGCUAGACAAUGUAAAGAAGUCUGGAAACGAUAGUAAGGCCACUUCCAAAAGGCAUUACAUUUUCCUUAUUACUGGCCUUACGAGUUGCAUUUUUCAUAAAAAUUAUUACUCAUGCUUUUUAAUCGGGUUUUUAUAAACCAACAACAAUUCAUUAUAAAGACUAAGCCGAUCCGUUUACACAGGUCUAUGGUAAACUCCAUACAGUCGCCACACAGACAACGUUCCGUACGUUAUCUUGAAUAAUAGCCAUCGUCCUUUAGGUUAGGUGGAGACAAUCGCUCUGAUAAUGUCUCAUCCGCCAAAACACAGAAAUUAACCGCAUGCAGUUUGGUUACUUUGGUAUUGCCAGCCAUUUGGUUCUUGUUCAUUUGUUCCUCCAUGUGAUGAACGUGAAAAGUUGAAAACACGGCAUAUAUAUGUACAACUAGAACAAGACAUGCAGUGUUACUUUCAACAGGUGGCACGUGCUUUGGUACCUCACACUAUCCUCAUUGAAUCCAUAUCCAUCCAUAUUCAAUCAACUCUUGUGCAUUAAGGAUCUUUACGCUUCUUCAAAAAAAUUUCUCUCAAUUUCAUGAAAAUUGCAGAGAGAUGGGCGUAGCUGCAUGAGUACAAGUAGAAAUAUUAUUGUUUAUAUAAAACAAUUCAUAUAAAUUCGAUUUUUUUUUUUUUUUUUGCGAUCAUUUGGUUAAAUUUCGUUUUGCAUGUAGUAGGGUAGAAUAUAAUUCUCUCCCCUCAUAAUCUCUCUUCUUUUUCCUCCUCUUCUAUUUGAAUGGUUACGAUGUCAACAUCUUUUGUUGACUCCUUUAUAGAGAGAAAGUGUGAGAAUGAGAGUAGAUUAGGAGUUAGGAGGGAGAGAAUACUAGUACAGGGUAAAUAACUCAUUUUAAACAUAGAUUUGACUCCAUUUGGUAAUAUACCAAAAUCAUUUUAAACAUGCAAGAUUUGACUCAAUAGGUUAAAGGGAGUAAGAUUCUCUCCCCUCAUAAUCUCUCUCCUCUUUCCUCAUCUUCUAUUUGAAUGGUUACGAUUGAGUUAUGUCAACAUCUUUAGUUGAUUUCUUUAUAAAGAGAGAAAGACAAAGAAGAAAGUGUGAGAGAAUGAGAGUGGAUUAGGAGUUAGGAGGAAGAGAAUGCUAAUACAGGAUAAAGAACUCAUUUUAAACGUACAUUUGACUCCAUUUGGUAAUAUAUCAAAGUCAUUUUAAACAUGCAAGAUUUGACUCCAUUUGGUAAUAUACAUAUUAAACAUAGAUUUUACUCCAUUUGGUAUUAUUAAGCAUUGAAUCUUUGAAAGAGAAACUUUUGUAUUGAUUUCAGACUAAGUAAUUACAAUGAAGCAAACACACAUUAUAUAGCUUGCAGUAGCUUGCAAUGUAAGCAAAACCGGUUACAACAACCCUAACUAACAUAACUGUCAAUAGCCUAACUAACUGCUAGCUAAGCUGAGCUGCAGUGCAGUGCCUGCCAGCUGUCAUUACUGUCAACAAAUAUCUCAUUCGCCAAAACACCAGAAAUUAACCUGCAUGCAGUUUGGCUACUUUUUUGGUAUUGCCGGCCAUUUGGUUCUUGUCCAUUUUCCCCCCAAUGUGAAUCACGCGAAAAGUUGAAAACACAGCAUGUACAACUAGAACAAGACAUGCAGUGUUACUUUCAAAAGAUGGCACACUAUGCUACCUCACACUUAUCCUCAUGUUGUCCAUAUUCAAUCAACUCUUGUGCAUAAAAGGGAUGGAAAGGAAGGAAGAAAUUCUCCAGGAUGUGGUCUUUGGGUUGUGGAGAAUCUGGAAGUGCAUGGAAUCCAAGGGAAGCAAUUGAGGUUGUUGUGCUAGGAUAGCACCAAACCCGUUGGAACCAACUCAAGCUAACCCACAGGAAAUUUAUCAAAUGAAAAUGCAAGAACAAAAUAUGAAAGAACACCAAGAUUUUAACGAGGUUCCUCAACAGUCAGUGUAACUGGAGUACGUCCUCGGAGCAGUAGGAGCUCACCCAAUAAUCCACUAUCAACCAAAUGGGAGUUUACAAAAUGUUGGCAAUCUCACAACCCAAAAGCCCAAUACACCCAAUAGCUCUCACACACCAAAGAAACAAAUAGGAAGAAAUAUAAUGAAUAAUUUCUUCUCUAUACAUAUAGCUCAAAGCUAUUACAACAACACCUAUUUUGGUGGAUGAUUACUAACCAAAUGAAGCAGCAGCUUCUUCUUCCUUUUGGGCUCUCUGCAGAAAAAAAACCUCUAACUUCUCUCUGCAGCUCUCUCCUCUCUUCAGCUCUCUCUUUUCUUCUCUUAACCACACAAGCAGCAAUUGCUGCUAAAUAAAUUCUUCAAGUCACCCCGUGACUUCCCACAUGGCCAAAGAAAAAAUAAUUCUCAAACAUCAUCAUUUGUCAUCAUCACAAAGUAAGAAAGAACAUCAUGAUGUCUCCCCUUUUUUUUCUUUUUAUUUGUUUAAUACAAAAGGUGAUGGCCACUUGGCCAAAAUUCAACAAUCUCCACCUUGGCCAAGUUCCGAAAACGCCAUGAUAAGCCAACCAACACAAUUGACCCAAAAAAUCACUCCCAAAUACUAGCAAGAGAACAACUCAUGCCGAGCCAAAUGCUCCAAAACUCCUACUGCUCAACGCCUUCUUUAUAUAGGCAAAAUGUGAGCCAAGUUCAAGCAAUGAACAAACUUGGCUACACCAACAACCUUAGUCAACAUAUCAGCGGGGUUGUCUUUAGUUGGAAUCUUCUGGAGAAUGAUUUCCCCUUCACCAACAAUUUCACGAACAAAGUGAUAACGCACAUCUAUGUGCUUGGUCCUCGCAUGAUGAACCUGAUACUUAGCCAAAUAAAUGGCACUCUGACUAUCACAAUGUACCUCCACCUGCUUCUGAUCAACCCCCAAAUCUCUAAUCAGCCCAUGUAUCCAAAUGGCCUCCUUUAUAGCUUCAGCAACUGCCAUAUAUUCAGCCUCUGUAGUAGACAAGGCAACAGACGACUGCAAAAUAGACCUCCAACAAACUGGUCCUUUAGCCAUAGUAAACACAUAGCCUGUAGUAGACUUCCUUCCAUCCAGAUCACCUGCAUAAUCUGAAUCAACAUAACCAACUGCAAAAUGACCAAUACCAGAGUCAUCUCUCUCAAAGCAUAAACCAACAUCUCGAGUACCAUGGAGAUAUCUCAAUAUCCACUUAGCUGCUUGCCAGUGCUCUUUACCUGGAUUAUGCAUAUAUCGACUCACCAUGCCAACUGCAUGAGCAAUAUCCGGUCUAGAGCAUACCAUUGCAUACAUCAAACUACCAACCAAAUUUGCAUAUGGUAUAUUUUUCAUUUGCAGCUUCUCUUUAUCAUUUUUAGGACAUUGUAGAGAACUCAAUUUAAAAUGAGGAGCCAAAGGGGGUACUAACCGGUUUGGUUGAAUCAUGAACUCCAAACUUCCGAAUCAACUUCUCAAGGUAUUGUCUUUGAUUCAAACUGACCAAACCCUUCUCUCUAUCUCUAGUGAUCUCCAUGCCAAGGAUCUUCUUCGCUUCACCAAGAUCCUUCAUCUCAAACUCAUUCUUCAUUUGCUUCUUCAAUUUUUCAAUCUCUUCAACAUUUUUUGAGGCAAUCAACAUAUCAUCAACAUAUAUCAAUAAAUAAAUGAAAGACCCAUCUUGCAACUUCUUGAAGUACACACAAUGAUCAUAUUGACUUCUAGAAUAAUUUUGGCCUCUCAUAAAUUUAUCAAACCUCAAAUACCAUUGCCUUGGAGAUUGCUUCAAGCCAUAAAGUGAUUUCUUCAAUUUGCAAAACAAAUUUUCCUUCCCUUUCACUAUAUACCCAUCCGGUUGACACAUAUAAAUCUCUUCAUUCAAAUCACCAUGUAGGAAAGCCGUCUUCACAUCAAGUUGCACAAGCUCAAGAUCAUAUUGUGCAACAAGAGCUAACAUAAUACGAAUUGAGGAGUGCUUCACAACUGGAGAAAAUAUUUCAUUGUAGUCAAUGCCCUCCUUUUGUGCAUACCCUUUAGCAACUAAUCUUGCUUUAAAUCUCACAUUGCUUUUCUCAUCAGCAUCUUCCUUCUUGGCAUACACCCAUUUGCAACCGAUAGCUUUCUUGCCCUUAGGCAAUUUAGCUAACUCCCACGUCUUGUUCUUCAAGAGAGAAUUCAUCUCAUCACCCAUGGCAUUGCACCACCUCUUCUUCUCCUCACUCUCAAUGGCUUCCUCGAAAUUAGAUGGAAUAUCAUCAGUGAUAAUAGGAAGAGCAAAAGAAACAUAGUCACUAUACCUAGCUGGCUUGGUAAUUUGUCUCUUUCCUCUGUUUUUGGCAAUAGACUCUUGAGGUGAAACUUGCUCUUCAACUUGAAUAGAAUCUUCAAGUUCAACUUCUUCAACAUCCUCAUGGUCUCCCACUUCUUCACUUGUAGUGGCUUCGACAUCAGCGGAAAUAGAAUUUGAAGUACCAGAGGCAACUUUCUCAAGCUCCACCUGUUGGACAUCUUUCACAUUCUUCUCAGAGACUUUGUACAUACUUUCUUCGUCAAAUGUCACAUCUCUACUAAUUACCAGUUUCUUCAUCUCUGGACACCACAACCUGUAACCUUUGACACCACUACUAAAACCAAGAAAGAUAGCCUUUUUGGCUCUAGGAUCAAGUUUAUUUUCAGUCACAUGAAAAUAAGCAGGUGAACCAAAAAUAUGGAUAUAAUCAUAAUCAGAAGAAGGUUUUCCAGUCCAUACCUCCAUUGGUGUCUUACCCUGAACAGCAGCUGAGGGUAACCGGUUGAUGAUGUGACAUGCAUAAUUAACUGCCUCUGCCCAAAAUGACUUGCUUAAACCCGAUUGAGACAACAUACAUCUAACCUUCUCAAGCAAGGUUCGAUUCAAUCUUUCUGCAACUCCAUUUUUGUUGUGGAGUUCCCCGAACACUGAAAUGUCUCACAAUUCCUUCCUCUUUGCAAACUUUAAAGAAAGGAUCGGAUGUGUAUUCACCACCAUUAUCCGAUCUCAAAAUCUUAAUCUUUCUCCCAGUCUGGUUCUCAACCAUUUUCUUCCAACUCAAGAAAAUGUUCAACACCUCACUCUUGUGCUUCAUAGUGUAGACCCAAGACCUUCUUGAAUAAUCAUCAACAAAGGUCACGAACCAAUGUCUACCACUCAAAGAGGGAGUCUUUGUAGGACCCCAAACAUCCGAAUGCACAUAAUCAAGAAUGCCCUUCGUCUGAUGUACGGCAGUACCAAACUUCACUCUAGUUUGCUUCCCCAAGACACAAUGCUCGCAGAAAUCAAGCUUACAAGUCGUGGCACCUUUUAGAAGACCUUUUUUCACAAGCCCUUGUAGAGCUUUCUCACCGGCAUGGCCUAAUCUCAUAUGCCACAGUCUAGUAGUAUCUGAAUCAGAUGUGCCCAUAUUUUCAGAAACUACAUAUGCUUCACCUGUCACAGUGCUUCCCUGCAAUAAAUACAAAUGGCCACAUCUAGGAGCUUUCAUCACAACAAGUGCACCAUAAGUAACUUUCAAUGUCUGUCCAUCUGAAUGAAACCUGAAACCCUUGGAUUCCAGAGUACCCAAAGAAAUAAGAUUUUUCUUCAAAUUCGGUACAUACCGAACACCUGUCAACUCUUUAACCAUGCCAUCAUGCAACUUCAAACGAACUGUACCAAUCCCUUUUGUUGUGCAAGGAUUGUCAUCUCCCAUGAACACAACGCCACCAUCAAACUCUUUCAAGCUUGAAAACCAAUCCUUGUGAGGAGUCAUAUGAUGAGUACAACCCGUAUCCAACACCCACUUAGUAGCACAAUCAAAUGAUGAGGAAGUGGUUAAAGCAAAAUCAAAAACAUCGGUUUCAACCUCAGCAACAUUGGCUUCAGAACUUUCUUUUCCUUUGGUCUUCAACUUAGGACAAUCUUUUCCAAUGACCCUUAUUAUGACAAAAGGCACAUUCAUCCCUUUCCAAAGGUUUUCUACCUUUAGAGUUUCCUCUAGGUCGAGACUGUGAUUUUUUCCUGCUAGAAGAUGACUUCCUCUCCGAUGAUCUACCUCUAACAAAUAAAGCUUCAGAGGUAUUAUCAUGAUUUUUAUCUCUAUGCCUCAUUUCAUAAUUCAUCAAGGCAUUUGACACAUCUUCAAAUUUCACAGUUUCUUUACCAUGCAUAAUAGUGGUAACAAAAUGCUCGUAAGAGUCCGGCAAGGAAUUCAACAAUAUUAAGGCCUUAUCUUCAUCUUUAAUAUCCUCAUCUAAAUUUAACAAGUCGGCAAUCAACUUAUUAAAAGCAUCAAGGUGUCUAAUCAUUUUUGUACCUUCUUUGUAUUGGAAGCGGUAGAGUUUUUUCUUCAAGUGUAGCCGGUUCUCUGCACUCUUCGUCAUAUACUUGUCUUCCAAUUUUUGCCACAACACACUUGCUACCGUCUCCCGCAUCACAAAAUACUUCUGAGUUUUUGCAAGGCACAACCGAAUUGAAGAGCAAGCCCACAAAUUUAAUUUCUCCCAUUCCGGCUUCGACAUAGCUUCCGGCUUCUCUCCCAAAGCGGCAAGUAGAUCUUGUUGAGCCAACACAUCUUUGACCUCACAUUGCCACAUCCCGAAGUUGUUUGUGCCAUCAAACUUUUCCACUUCGAACUUUGCAUUUUGCACCGUAGUUCUUGCAAACCCGGAGCUGCUUCCAAAAGGAUUUUCAUCUUGCCCGUCUGACAUCUUUGGCAACUAGACAGUACCCAAGAGCAACUAGUGCUCUGAUACCAAUUGUUGUGCUAGGAUAGCACCAAACCCGUUGGAACCAACUCAAGCUAACCCACAGGAAAUUUAUCAAAUGAAAAUGCAAGAACAAAAUAUGAAAGAACACCAAGAUUUUAACGAGGUUCCUCAACAGUCAGUGUAACUGGAGUACGUCCUCGGAGCAGUAGGAGCUCACCCAAUAAUCCACUAUCAACCAAAUGGGAGUUUACAAAAUGUUGGCAAUCUCACACCCAAAAGCCCAAUACACCCAAUAGCUCUCACACACCAAAGAAACAAAUAGAGGAAGAAAUAUAAUGAAUAAUUUCUUCUCUAUACAUAUAGCUCAAAGCUAUUACAACAACACCUAUUUUGGUGGAUGAUUACUAACCAAAUGAAGCAGCAGCUUCUUCUUCCUUUUGGGCUCUCUGCAGAAAAAAAACCUCUAACUUCUCUCUGCAGCUCUCUCCUCUCUUCAGCUCUCUCUUUUCUUCUCUUAACCACACAAGCAGCAAUUGCUGCUAAAUAAAUUCUUCAAGUCACCCCGUGACUUCCCACAUGGCCAAAGAAAAAAUAAUUCUCAAACAUCAUCAUUUGUCAUCAUCACAAAGUAAGAAAGAACAUCAUGAUGUCUCCCCUUUUUUUUCUUUUUAUUUGUUUAAUACAAAAGGUGAUGGCCACUUGGCCAAAAUUCAACAGAGGUAUGGAGGAAACAAGUGGGGGAGCAUCGAGUAAUGGAGGAGGAGGUAGCAUCGGGUAAUGGAGGAGGAGGUGGGGCUUUCCUUGGUUAAGUAAAAAAAGAGUGGGGCACGGGAGGUAGGUAGAGCAAAUGAUGGGUGGAGGAAACCAAACUUUUGGACAUUGAAAGUAAACUGUGACGGAUCAUGGAACUCGAAGACGGGGCUGGGGAGUAAUGGGUGGGUAAUCCGAGAUUUUGUAGGGUGUUUGCAAAGAGCAGGAGGGACGGGGAAAACGCCCUUUAAUUCGGCAAUCGUGGAGGAAGCGGAGGCUAUUCGUGUUGCGCUUGUGUUUUGCAAAAACGAAGGUUUUACGAAGGUGGAGAUUGAAUCGGAUGCCCAGGUGCUACUGUGCAUGAUCAACAAGGAGGUUGAAGUGGAUGCUGAUUUGGAAUGUCUUUUGUUUGAUAUUGACUCUUUGGUGAAGCAUAUUGAAGAUGUUAAAAUUGGGUUUGUGCCACGGAGUGGCAACUUGGCUGCUCACGCGGUUGCUUUGUUUUCUGCCAAACAUGGGGUCCCUUUGUUUGGGACGAGAUAGGCCCUGAGUUUUUAUUUAACAUUCUUGCUAUAGAUGUAAACAUUUCAGUUAGAUUAUAAUUAAAUUAUAUCCUUUGCCAAAAAAAAAAAUCAACUUUUGUUCAUUCUUCUUCAAAAUUCUCUCUUAAUUUCAUGAAAAUUGCAGAGGUAGGCGUAGCUAUAUGAGUACAAGUCGAAAUAUUAUUGCUGAUAUAAAAGAAUUCAUAUAAUUUUGAAUUUUUUUUUUUUUUGGUGAUCAUUCGAUUAAAUUUUGUUUUGCAUAUAGUAGGGUAAAGGGAGUAGAAUUUUAUCCCCUCUUUAUCUCUCUCCCUUUCCCUCCUCUCCAAUUUGAACGGUUUACAAUUAAACCAUGUCAACAUCUUUUAUUGACUUCUUUAUAGAUAGAGAAAGACAAAGGAAAAAGUGUGAGAGAAGGGGAGAAAAGAAGAGAGAAUUAGGAGUUGAGAGAAUCCUAAUGAUGGUAAAAGAACUCAUUUUUCACAUGCUAGCAUUUGGUAAUAUAUCAAUCAGCUGUUGGAUCUUGAAUCCAGAAAUCAUAUCAAAUGAGUCCUCCAGAAAUAGCCAACAUCAUCCUUGUAUUCCUUACAUUCCUAUGGUCUCUCCUCCACCUAAGCAAUGCCUCCUCAAGGCAAAGCCGAAAACUGCCUCCUGGCCCUACGACACUGCCAAUCAUUGGAAAUCUUCAUCUGCUAGGCGACCUCCCACACCGUAGCCUCCAAAACUUGGCAAAAAAAUAUGGACCUAUAAUGUCCAUGCGUCUAGGGUUCAUACCAACCAUAGUGGUCUCAUCGCCCAAAACAGCAAAGCUAUUUCUCAAAACCCACGACACCAUUUUCGCUAGCCACCCCAAACUCUAAGCCUCCAAGUACAUGUCCUAUGGCGCGAAGGCCAUGGCCUUUACUGAAUAUGGCCCAUAUUGGUGCCAUAUUCGGAAACUCUGCACGCUUCAACUUUUUGUCCCUCGAAAAUCGAGGGUUUUGCUCCUCUAAGAAGGGAGGUGGUAGGGUUGUUGGUGCAGUCCCUGAAGGUAGCUACGGAGGUGCGCGAGGUGGUGGAUGUUAGUGAGAAGGUCGGUGAGCUUGUUGAGGGAAUCAUGUAUAGGAUGGUGUUGGGGAGAAAAAAUGAUGAUAUGUUUGAUCUCAAGGGAUUAUUGAGGAAGCCGUAUUCUUAACAGGAGCUUUCAACAUUAGUGAUUAUGUGACUUUCCUUAGUCCACUUGAUCUCCAGGUAUGUUACCCUUCAUUCUUAACUACCAAACUUGUUAGAUGAAUCAAUAAUAAAACUAGGGAAAUGCUAGGAACACCGUAAAGUAGGGACAUUUAUAAUCAUUGCACGCACGCUACUAAUUCUGAAUUGCUAAGCACAAAUACAAAGUAAAGGCGUUGCAAAUAAGUGCACAUAUAUGUGACUGAUCUUAACACUACUAAAGUAUUUGGACUCUAUUAUUUAGAUGACGUAUUUCGAUGGAUCCAUUAACUGGAAUAGAAGUAGUGUCAACAAAUAAAGUGAACGAGAUUAAUUCAUAAUUUAGGGUAACCGAGUUUGUUUGGAUGUACUUUUAAAAUGACUGAAAGUGUUUUUAGUGAAAAUAUUUUUAGAAACAAUCCUUAAUAAAAAUGCUAGCAAAUCUUGGAAAAUCACUUAAAGUGCUUUAUGGAAGAAGCACAUAUUACUAGUGUUUCUUAUAGAAAGCACUUCAAAUGCUUUUGGAAUCCAAAAAUAUUUUUUUCUAGAAACGCUUUCAGUCAUUUUAAAAGCACAUUCAAACUUAGCCAAUAACUAGUUCACAUUUGUACAAAUUAAUCUGAGAGGAAUAGCUGUUUCCGUUAGCCAGCUCACUUAUCGUCUUUUUGCUGGUGAUAUGAUUCACAAAGUCACAGCAUCCACAAAUUAUAAAUGCAAAAUCAUAAGAUUCAUAUCGUAUGGUCCAUUCCAUAGCCUGCCGACGAUAAACUAUCUCCUAAUUCGAGAUGUAAAAACAUAUUUACAUCUUAUUUUAUAGUUUCAAGAGGUGUAGACAGGAGUUCUAUGCUAAUGAGAGCGAUGUAAAUUUGAGUUUUUAUUUAAUUUUCUCUCUUAUAUAGAGUAGCAGAGUUCACCAUAAAAAAUAUAUAUAUACAUCCAUAUAUAUAUAUGUAUAUAUAUUUAAGUUCUUAUUUAUAUUUUCCAGUCAAUAUUUUACAUCUUUCUGAACAACUUAAAGUUUCAAAGACAAAUUGCUCCCUAUCUUAUGCAUUUGGUUGCAAUUGCCAUCCGGGAUAUUAUUACAAUAGCAAUGGAUUUAAUGCACAAUUCAUUAUUUUAGGAACCUUAAUUUCUGCAAUCAACUAUACAAAUUUAAAAUAUAUCCAACAGGCUCUUUAAGGGGAGAUCUCCAUUUAAAAAUAAAUAAAUAAAUAGUUGUAGGGCUCACUCCACAUCAAACUUCAAUAAUAAGAAAUGUCUAUAUUUUGUCUCUAUUUAUAGGUCAUUCUUGCAAAAAAUCAAUUCAAUCCGAAAUGAUUUAGUCACUUGAUUGUCACGAUGAAAUUUUAAUGUUUCUUAUAACAUAAUGUUCAUCAAUGUCUUGGAGCUCAAUUAGAUUAAUUGAUGCCUCAUACAUUUUUUAUUUGCCAAAUUUUGCAAUGAUGAUUUAAUUGGUACAACUUGAAAAUAGACAAUUCGGAUAUCAUUGAAGUUCAAUGUAGUAUAGACUCCACAACUAAUCUAAAAAAAUGAGAAUCCCUUCCCUUAAAACCAUACGUUACAUGUAUGUGUUUUUUUUUUUUUCUUCUUAUCCUUCAUAAAGGAUGUAAUACUAAUAAUAAGGAUUUUAUUUUACCAUUGAAAAUGAGGAUUUUACAAGAAUUCAAAAGAUAAAAUGCUAGUAAAUAUGUAGAUAUAGAUUUUGAGGCCUUACGUAGUGGGUAAAAUUGAGUUGAAGUCCAGUUUUAUAAGAAUCAAACUCCUAGGACGGAAAAUCUGCAUUUUACAUGAGUGACUCCGAUUAUUGAAUUUAAUAAUUACUAAUGACUUUAAUUUCAAUAAAUGAUCAACCACUUGACAGAGAAAAUAGAGAUUAAUACAUAAAACGAGGAAAAAAAAGUCCAAUAAUAUUAUAGGAAUCAAACUCAAUGUACAUGAUUAUAUAUAGGAAUGAAACCAAACAAAACUAACGUUUCUCUCUGUAAUUGUUACUUUCAUCUCAGAAAAAAAGGUUGCACAUGAUCCCUUAUACGGCCAUGUACCACAUGUUAGCAUGAACAUAUACCAAAACAUGUAAUUAUGAAUCACAGUGAUCAAAAUACAAAUCCUAUUCAUAAGCCUGUAGCACAGAGAAGAAACUUACCCGUAGUCGAACUUGAAGAAGCAGCCAUUCCAGGUUAUGCAACAAACAAACAGUGCACCUUCUCCUCUCUCCAGUAAUCAGUUUGCUCUAACUAAUAAUAGGUCUUAGUUCGAUGAUAGAGCGUGUCAACUGUGAGAGCAGAGGCCACUAUAUAUACACAACAUAAUCCUCGCCAAAUCUCAUAAGAAUUCCCCUAUUAGAAUCCUUAUAGACAACCAAAUUAGUGUUUCAGCAUAACGUGGAUUACAAAUCCAUUCUCAAUAAGACUUCUUAUCCAAACUUGAAACAAAUAACUUAAUCCACGAAUUCAUACUCAUGCUCAUAUUCUAACAAGAGUGUCACCGUAUGUGCCUAUCCUCACCCAAAAGAUACUCCAAAAAUACAAGAUGUAAUAGCUUUAUAUAUGCAUUCAUGUCUUGUCCAUUUCAUUGUCUUAUAAAAAUGACAGCCACAGUACUCAACUAGAAGUACAUAUGAUUGAUUGAUUGUAUGGAAUCUUAACUAUUUCUUCCACUUAGGGAUUGACCAAGCGCAUGAAGAGAGUUAGCAAGACUGUCGACCAACUACUCGAAAAGAUAAUUCAGAAUCAUGAACAAGUUUCCAGAAGUGAACAGGUACACGGCAAUCAUCAUAAGGACUUUGUAGACGUGCUGUUUUCAUUAAUCAACCAACCAUUAAACCCCAACGAUGAGGAAGUCUACAUGCUCGAACGAACAAAUGCCAAAGCCAUUUUACUCGACAUAAUUGCGGGUGCCUUUGACACCUCAGCCACGGCGAUUGUCUGGACCCUGGCCGAACUCUUGAGACUGUUGUGCGGAAGCGUCAAAUAUGAAACCAAUAAGCUACAACGGCAAAAUAUGACAAGACAAAUAAUCCAAAAGACACAAGGAUUUAUACUGGUUCGGCGUAAGCCUACAUCCAGUUCCGAGACGGCGAGGAAAUUCCACUAAUAUCAAAAGAAGAUUACAAAUAGAGUUUUAACUCUCAAACCCAAAUCCCACAUACAACCAAUAGCUCUCACUCUCACAAAGAACAAAUGGAGAAGAUGGAAACAUAUACCAAAUUCCUUCUCUCCCAAAAGCCACAAAAUGUAGCACAAAUAUCUUUGAUUGAGUGAUCACUAACAAAAGGGGAUUACAAACAAAUGGGGGGAGAGCUGCAGCUCUUAUUCAAAUGGGAGAGCCGAAUGCUCUCCCUGUGCUCUCUCAUCUGCCGCUCCCCUCACUUCCAAAGGCAUAAUCGAAUACCUUUUAUAACCAAAAUGAGCUCUCCAUUUCUUCUCUUCUACCCGAAACAAAAAACAAUAAUUAUGCUUAUUAAAAAACCACAAAAGAAGAAAGCAUAAUCAUGAUGCCUCCUCAUCAUGAUGUUUCCUCAUCAUUUUGGUUUCUUUUUCUUUUCUUUUGUUUGUUUAUUAGCCGAAAGGUGAUGGCCACUUGGCCACAAUUCAACAGAGACACCCGAAAGUAAUAAAACAUUUCCAAGAAGAGCUCCAGAGUGUGAUCGGGAUGGAUCGAAUGAUGAAAGAAAGUGAUUUGCCAAAGCUGGAUUACUUGAGCAUGCUGGUCAAGGAGAGCUUAAUGUAAGACUCAUGUUGAGUUGUCAAUUAUUAUGAAUAGAAUUACUUGAAAGACAAAUAACUUGAUCUUCAAGAUAUUUGGCUUUUAAUGUGAUUCAAUAUUGGUUGGCAAGAAUCAUGGAACCAAGAUAUAUUUAGUUGACUAAUUGAAACCCUAAUUAAGUAGGACAUAUUGUACAUGCCUUGGUGGGACAACAUUAAGAAUAAAUGGUGAUUUGGUGUAUUCCUCUAAUUACUAUAAUAGGCGGAAUUAGGGGAACCCUAAUCACUAUAUUAAGGGUGUCCCUGCUUUCACAAAAAACACGUUCCAUUCCGAGCAAACCCUAUUAUUGCUGGAACACUUCCGCUUGUUGAAAGUAGAAGAUUCCUUUGUCAUCCACAAGAGCCAUGUCUUCCAUAUUCCAAAGAUAAGUAAAUUGUAAUUGAUUUAUUGUAAUUAUUUUGGUUUAUCAAAUCUGUGAUCCUAAUCUCUUGUUGUUGUUCUUAUGAUUUCAGAAAUAUCUUACACUUAAGGCUACACCCAGUUGCCUCAUUACUAGUCCCUCGUGAAUUCAUGGAGGACAUUACAGUUGAUGGAUAUAACAUACCCAAUAAAUCAAGAGCCUUUAUCAAUAUUUGGACCAUUGGGAGGGAUCCAAGUGUAUGGUCAGAUAAUGUGGAAGAAUUCUACCCUGAAAGGUUAAUGAAUAAUAACGUUGACCUACUUGGACAUGACUUCCAGCUCAGGUCUGGUCGAAGAGGGUGCCCUGCUAUGUAAUUAGGGUUAACCACAGUUCGUCUUGUUCUGGGAAACUUGUUGCACUGCUUCAACUGGGAGCUCCCUAGUGGAAUGCUACCUAAAGACUUGGACAUGGCUGAGAAAUUCGGCUUAUCGUUGUCGAAAGCCAAACACUUGCUUGCCAUACCGAC